Molecule: ribosomal RNA, 279 nt
Filed under: uncultured bacterium
Lineage: Bacteria
Description: partial 16S ribosomal RNA
Rfam family: Bacterial small subunit ribosomal RNA
Source: RNAcentral
UGCCAGCCGCCGCGGUAAUACGGAGGGUGCGAGCGUUGUUCGGAAUUAUUGGGCGUAAAGGGCGCGCAGGCGGGAAAUUAAGUCAGCUGUGAAAUCCCUGGGCUUAACCCAGGACGUGCAGUUGAAACUGGUUUUCUUGAGUGUCAGAGGGGGAUGUGGAAUUCCAUGUGUAGGAGUGAAAUCCGUAGAUAUAUGGAGGAACACCGGUGGCGAAGGCGGCAUCCUGGCUGGACACUGACGUUGAGGCGCGAAAGCGUGGGUAGCAAACAGGAUUAGAUA